Molecule: ribosomal RNA, 600 nt
Filed under: uncultured bacterium
Lineage: Bacteria
Description: partial 16S ribosomal RNA
Rfam family: Bacterial small subunit ribosomal RNA
Source: RNAcentral
CCUGAGAGGGUGUCCGGCCACACUGGGACUGAGAUACGGCCCAGACUCCUACGGGAGGCANCNGUGNGGAAUAUUGCNCNAUGGGCGCAAGCCUGANGCAGCGACGCCGCGUGAGGGAUGACGGCCUUNGGGUUGUAAACCUCUUUCAGUAUCGACGAAGCGCAAGUGACGGUAGGNNCAGAAGAAGGACCGGCCNNNUACGUGCCAGCAGCCGCGGUAAUACGUAGGGUCCGANCGUUGUCCGGAAUUACUGGGCGUAAAGAGCUCGUAGGUGGUUUGUCGCGUUGUUCGUGAAAACUCACAACUCAAUUGUGGGCGUGCGGGCGAUACGGGCAGACUGGAGUACUGCAGGGGAGACUGGAAUUCCUGGUGUAGCGGUGGAAUGCGCAGAUAUCAGGAGGAACACCGGUGGCGAAGGCGGGUCUCUGGGCAGUAACUGACGCUGAGGAGCGAAAGCGUGGGGAGCGAACAGGAUUAGAUACCCUGGUAGUCCACGCCGUAAACGGUGGGUACUAGGUGUGGGUUUCCUUCCUUGGGAUCCGUGCCGUAGCUAACGCAUUAAGUACCCCGCNNGGGGAGUNCGGCCGCAAGGCUAAAACU